GCGUAAAGCGUGCGCAGGCGGACAAGUAAGUAGGAAGUGAAAGGUUGGAGCUCAACUCCAACACUGCUCCCUAUACUGCUUGUCUUGAAUGUCGGAGAGGAAGAGGGAACGACACGUGUAGCGGUGAAAUGCGUUGAGAUGUGUCGGAACACCAAUGGCGAGAGCACUCUUCUGGACGAAUAUUGACGCUCAGGCACGAAAGCUAAGGUAGCAAACAGGAUUAGAUACCCUGGUAGUCUUAGCCAUAAACGAUGUUCACUAGGUGUUGGGGCGUAAGCCUCGGUGCCGCAGCUAACGCAUUAAGUGAACCGCCUGGGGACUACGGCCGCAAGGUUGAAACUCAAAGGAAUUGGCGGGGGCCCGCACAAGCGGUGGAGCAUGUGGCUUAAUUCGAUGCAACGCGAAGAACCUUACCAGGGCUUGACAUGGAACUGCAAGCCGGUGAAAGCCGGUCGCCUUCGAGGGUGUUCCACAGGUGGUGCAUGGCUGUCGUCAGCUCGUGUUGUGAAAUGUUGGGUUAAGUCCCGCAACGAGCGCAACCCUCAUGUCUUGUUACCAGCGAGUAAAGUCGGGAACUCGAGACAAACUGCCUCUGUAAAGAGGAGGAAGGUGGGGAUGACGUCAAGUCAUCAUGCCCCUUACGCCCUGGGCUGCACACAUGCUACAAUGGCCGGUACAAAGGGUCGCUAGCUCGCGAGAGUCUGCUAAUCCCAAAAAGCCGGUCUCAGUUCGGAUUGGAGUCUGCAACUCGACUCCAUGAAGUCGGAAUCGCUAGUAAA
RNAcentral lists this ribosomal RNA (779 nucleotides) under uncultured bacterium. RNAcentral describes it as "bacterial SSU rRNA". It matches the Rfam family "Bacterial small subunit ribosomal RNA", at positions 558 to 1342 of the family's 1533-position model. The record is from RNAcentral.